RNAcentral lists this unclassified non-coding RNA (329 nucleotides) under soil metagenome. Its description in RNAcentral is "partial contains 5.8S ribosomal RNA, internal transcribed spacer 2, and large subunit ribosomal RNA". The stretch from base 1 to 120 matches the Rfam family "5.8S ribosomal RNA", at positions 35 to 154 of the family's 154-position model. The record is from RNAcentral.
GAUGUAGAACGCAGCGAAAUGCGAUAAGUAGUGUGAAUUGCAGAAUUCAGUGAAUCAUCGAAUCUUUGAACGCACAUUGCGCCCCUUGGUAUCCCGAGGGGCAUGCCUGUUCGAGCGUCAUUUCACCACUCAAGCCUGGCUUGGUGUUGGGCGACGUCCCCUUUGGGGACGCGCCUCGAAACGCUCGGCGGCGUGGCACCGGCUUUAAGCGUAGCAGAAUCUUUCGCUUUGGAAGUCGGGGCCCCGUCUGCCGGAAGACCUACUCGCAAGGUUGACCUCGGAUCAGGCAGGGAUACCCGCUGAACUUAAGCAUAUCAAUAAGCGGAGGA